RNAcentral lists this ribosomal RNA (472 nucleotides) under uncultured bacterium. RNAcentral describes it as "bacterial SSU rRNA". It matches the Rfam family "Bacterial small subunit ribosomal RNA", at positions 329 to 793 of the family's 1533-position model. The record is from RNAcentral.
CUACGCACUCCUACGGGAGGCAGCAGUGGGGAAUAUUGCACAAUGGGCGCAAGCCUGAUGCAGCCAUGCCGCGUGUAUGAAGAAGGCCUUCGGGUUGUAAAGUACUUUCAGCAGUGAGGAAGGUGGAUAUGUUAAUAGCAUAUUCAUUUGACGUUAGCUGCAGAAGAAGCACCGGCUAACUCCCGUGCCAGCAGCCGCGGUAAUACGGAGGGUGCGAGCGUUAAUCGGAAUUACUGGGCGUAAAGCGCAUGCAGGUGGUUUGUUAAGUCAGAUGUGAAAGCCCGGGGCUCAACCUCGGAAUUGCAUUUGAAACUGGCAAACUAGAGUACUGUAGAGGGGGUAGAAUUUCAGGUGUAGCGGUGAAAUGCGUAGAGAUCUGAAGGAAUACCGGUGGCGAAGGCGGCCCCCUGGACAGAUACUGACACUCAGAUGCGAAAGCGUGGGGAGCAAACAGGAUUAGAUACCCUGGUAG